RNAcentral lists this ribosomal RNA (251 nucleotides) under uncultured bacterium. Its description in RNAcentral is "partial 16S ribosomal RNA". It matches the Rfam family "Bacterial small subunit ribosomal RNA", at positions 85 to 339 of the family's 1533-position model. The record is from RNAcentral.
UGUGAGUAGAGCGGCGGACGGGUGAGUAAUGCUUGGGAAUCUGCCCAAUAGUGGGGGACAACGUGGGGAAACCCACGCUAAUACCGCAUACGCCCUACGGGGGAAAGGAGGGGAUCUUCGGACCUUUCGCUAUGAGAUGAGCCUGCGUAAGAUUAGCUAGUUGGUAGGGUAAAGGCCUACCAAGGCGACGAUCUUUAGCUGGUCUGAGAGGAUGAUCAGCCACACUGGAACUGAGACACGGUCCAGACUCC